This 4669-nucleotide long non-coding RNA is filed under the name Trifolium pratense (red clover). Its description in RNAcentral is "long non-coding RNA (TPRA_LNC001587)". The record is from RNAcentral. Lineage: Eukaryota; Viridiplantae; Streptophyta; Magnoliopsida; Fabales; Fabaceae.
AGAUCAUGGUGAGCAUCAGUGCACCAUAACUUAGAAGUAAUAAAUAAUUCAUCGCGAUUUUUAACGAGGCCUAGCUCUAAAGCUUUUGACACAGCUUGGCCUAGAGGUUCUUCAGUAUUGUAGAAAGCAGCAGUAUCAAAAUGUCUAUAGCCAAUCUCAAUGGCAUCAAGCAAAGUUUGUUGAGGAGGAAUUGUUCCUGUUCCAAAUCCUAUUGUUGGCAUCGUUUUCCCUGAAUUUAGUACCACCUCAGGAAUUUUCUUAUCUGCCAUAUUUUUUGUGUUGGUUUAAGGCACAAGGUUUACACAAUUCACAAUUGUCUCUUAUUUUUGUAGUAUGUUACUAUGUUAGUUUUGAGACUUGAGUUGUGCUAUAAAUAAUAGUUCAAGACACAAAGAAGAUAUUGUUGAUUGUUUAUUAUUGACUAUUUGCACCCUAAUGACCCAAGGAAUAACUGGAGCAGAUUCAAACUUCUAUAUUCUAGUACAUUCUAGUUUUACUUUGUGAUGUCACUGCUUUGCUGUUUCUUCUUUGCUUCUUUUAAAUCUAGAUAAGGGACCAACUUGAAACUUUUAUAAGAUAAAGGACCAACUUGAAACCUAAAAUAAAGAUAAGGGACCAAAAGUGUAAUUAAGCCUUUUUUUUUUACAGUAAAAUAAGUUUAUGCUCUUGAUGACAGUAAAUUAUAUGAUGUUUUUAGGUACUAUUUAGGUUAGUUUUUAGUAGUUUUAGUAGUGAUUGAAGAUCAAAUGCAAGCAAAUACCUAAAGUUAUGAAGUUACUUGACCAAGAAGCAAGUAAAGUGGAAAAUGCAUAAAAAAGUGGAAAAAAGGAAGAAAUACGCUGAAUAUACCACAUCGUACCAAAAACGCCAUAAAUGGAGUUACAAGUAUCGGAUCGAGUCAUGUGACCCUGCGUUGGAAAGAUAAGACAAAGAACUACAAUUUUCAUGUUAAAGCAAAAUUCUAAUUCUGAAGUCUCAUUGUGUCCAUGAUGGAUUCAUCGUGGCCACGAUGAAGUGAAAACUUGGCCGCAAGGAGAAAAGAACAAACUGUGUGCUGAUCAAACAAGAAAACACACUCAUCGUAGCUACGAUGGAUCCCAUCUCGCCACGAUGGAAAAAGUCCAAANNNNNNNNNNNNNNNNNNNNNNNNNNNNNNNNNNNNGAACUAUAAAGUCUCUAAGGAGCAAAGGAGGAGGAACAAGGAGGGCUAAGGAUCUCUCAAGGGAAGGAGACUUCCCCAUCAUAGGGAGACGAAACUUUCUCCGCAAGGAAUCGAGGUUAUUUUUAUGCAUGUUUUCUUUAUUGUUCAAUAUUCUUAAUAAUAGCAAGUCCCUUUAGGUUAGGUUGAGUAGAUUACAUCCCUUAUGAAUGUUUGAGACAUGUAAUUUGGUUCGAAAAAAACUAUUUACAAUUACUAUUCAGUUAUUAUCUGUUAUUGUCUCUGUUUAUUUAUACACUUUCAUAUAUGAACGCGCGCAUAUUUUGUUAGCACCUAGAAUUGAAGUGGAUCCCGUGACACAUCUGAAACUCCGAAUUAAAGAGAUAAUAUAACCAACCAAUAUGAGACCAUUAAAUUCAGUAUCUGAGGUUAGAUUUGUGGAUUAAGAGUCGCACAUAGUUAAAUUCUUACAAUUAGGCAAACAAGGUAGGAAAACACGUGACAACUUGUUAAAGGUAGAAAACGUGACAAACAAGGGGCCCUAUCAGCGGUUGGCUAUACUUUCUUCAGUUGCAAUAGGAUAAGGAAUGGUAGCACUGAACUUAUCUAAUAGAAAUUAACCACCAGAUGAUAAAUGAAUAGUAAGCAGAUAUAGCGUCAGUUACCGAGCAGGAAUAAGGGAGAGAUUCGAAAGCACUUAACCUACUUUUAUCAUUUUGAACUCUUUCUUUUAUCUUUAGUCUUAUACUAUCUAACUUUUGUCUCAAAAUCUUUUUCAAACAAAUAAAACGAAAGCAAAAUUAUCUUAAUUCCUAAAUGAAACUAGUUGCCUUGGCAGGAUCCCUAUGGAUACAAACUCAUUCUAGACACCUAAAGUGUAAAUUAUUACUCGCCGAUAGACUAAUCCACUUGCCAGUCUGCGGUCAGCUCUCAAUAAAUAUUUUAAAUUUACCAACAUGUUGUAGAAGUAGAAGGGGUGGAUACUUUAGUUCUUUAAUCAUUUGAUUUUGGGUUCAAUCUUUACCCUGAGUGUAUUGGACAUUAAAUUUGUUUAUCUCUUGGCUGGAAUUCGAAUUUUGGCUCGCCUUAUCGUAAGAGUCUAGCCUCUUCUAUUUUAUUUUUUUUGUUUACAAUGGAGCUGAAAAUCGAACUCAAAACUUCUAGCAUACUACUCAAAUCCUUCACCACUAGACCAAACCUAGUGACUUGUGUAGCCUCUUCUAUUAGAUUUAGCUUUUGUUCAUUCAUAUAAUAAUUCUUUAAUUGAUAAUUAAUUGUUACUUUUAUGAAUUUGUAAACUCUUGUAUUAUUUUUUGAGUUAUCAUAUUAGUUUGACUUACUCCGUUGUUUAUAAAAUACAUUUUAAGUCUUCAAUUAAAAGAUUGGGUGUUGAUGAAGACUAUUCAAUCAAAUUAUCAAAAGGACUUUCUGUGCUCCUCACAAAGUACUUGUCGUGGAAGAUGUUACGACAAAGAAAGGUUGAUUUUUAAAGUAGACAAUAUUGAAUUUAAGCUCCUUUAAGACCAAUGACUACUAAUAAUAGUAAUGUGGAAAUAUGUAUCAACAAUUGAAGAAAUUUCCUUCAGCUUUCAUAAUAUGAUUUUAACACCGCAAUUGAAGAAAUUUACUAUGACAUUAUGAAAAUUGUAUUAGGAAGGAUUAAUUAAUUUGUGUAUUAAUAAGGAGUAAAAGAAGUACUCAAAUCCUUACAAUACAACAAAAUCUCUUAAAUACUAAGCAAACAUUUUAAGGGAUUGACACACUAAUCGGAAUACAAAUAGGGACAAUGUCUACCCGAACGGCCAAUAAACCAAAACCAAGAAAUUAGCUUAAUUUGAUCCACCAACUGACCAUAAUCGGCUAUAGCACCCCUAAAGACAAUGUUAAUACGCAACCUUCAAGCACACCAAGUUGUUGCAAACCAAAUCAAACUUAGGACCUACUUGUUUUCUUCAGCAGAAACGGUAAUUUUUACUGCUCUAAGUUUAGCCUUAAAUUUCAGACGGUACUGGCACAAGGUCAUUUUUUAAUUUACAGAACUUAGAUCAAAUAAGUACUUUAAAAGAACUAAAAAGAGAUAAAGAAGAAUUAGUACGCUCAAGGAUAAACUUGUACAUGUGAAUAUGUGAUUAACUCAAAGAUUAAAUUGUAAAGUAAUUAUUUCAGCACCUAAGUAAUCAUGUAUGCGUGAAUCAUGAUAGCUUAGGCUCACAAGAGAAAUGAUUCAUCACACUUUUUGACCCAUGCAUCAAUUAUUUAAACACAAUUUCACUCAAACAUCGUCGUCCCACAGCUCUUCCAAGGAUUUGUAAGGUCCAUUUUCAGAUACAAACAUUUCUGCCUUUUGAAAUCUGCAUUGAGGAAUCUGAUUGAUUUUGUCUAAAUCUUCCUGGUUCAAUUCCCAAUCAAAUAUUUCAGUGUUUUUUUUCACCCUCUCUUUGUUGAAGCUUUUUACAAUUGGAGUUACCCCUUGCUCGUAUAUCCAUCUUAGUGCUAUCUGCAUAAUCAAAAACUUUAAUGUAACAGUCAUCUCAAUAUAGUAGUAUAUGUAUUACUUUCGGAAGUUUAAACCGUUAAUCAACUGAACCUGAGCUACACUCUUCUUUCGAGCCUCAGCAAUUNNNNNNNNNNNNNNNNNNNNNNNNNNNNNNNNNNNNNNNNNNNNNNNNNNNNNNNNNNNNNNNNNNNNNNNNNNNNNNNNNNNNNNNNNNNNNNNNNNNNNNNNNNNNNNNNNNNNNNNNNNNNNNNNNNNNNNNNNNNNNGGAAAUAUUUUCAGAAAGAAUAUUGGAUACUAUACGUAUAGGGAAGUAUCAGACACAUAUCGGUAUCAGAUACGUGUCAAAUGUUUUUCUCUACAUCAGAAAUCAAGUAGUACUAAAUUGUUAUACCUGAUUAACUGCAGGUGGAAUUUUGGCAUUUUCUAAGAGUGUGGAGAGCUUUUUGAUACCAAAGUUGCUAACACCAAUAGACUUGGCUAAGCCUAGUCUAUAACACUCUUCCAUAGCUUCCCAUGUUCCUUUUAUGUCAAAAGGAAUUAUAUCCUCACUUUUAAAGUUUAAACCUUCAACAUCUUGUUUAAACCUCACUGGCCAGUGAAUCAAAUAGAGAUCCACAUACUCCAAUCCCAGUUUUCUAAACAAAUUUCAAACCAAAAAAAUAUUAAAAAUUAGGCAAGUAAUAAAAUACAAAUACUUAAAAGAAGAGAAAAAAGGUAAGAGUACUUGCUUGAGAGUGGUUUUGAGAGCUGGGAGAACAAGGUCAUGGUGAGCAUCAGUACACCAUAACUUAGAAGUAAUGAAUAAUUCAUCGCGAUUCUUAACGAGGCCUAGAUCUAAAGCUUUUGACACGGCUUGGCCUAGAGGUUCUUCAGUAUUAUAUAGAGCAGCAGUAUCAAAAUGUCUGUAGCCAAUCUCAAUGGCAUCAAGCAAAGUUUGUUGAGGAGGAGUUGAUCCUGUUCCAAAUCCUAUUGUUGGUAUCUUUUUCCCUGAAUUUAGUACCACCUCAGGAAUU